AAAAAGGUAAACCUUGGGUUUCCGUGCCAACGUUUGACUGUCCAUCUUAUAUGAAUUUUUUUUAUAAUUAGUAUUUUUAUUUUUGUUAGAUGAUAAAACAUGAUUAAUACUUUAUGCGUGACUUAUCUUUUUAAUUUUUUUCAUAAUUUUUUCAAAUAAGACGGACUGUCAAACGUUAGACACAGAAACCAGGGUUUGUCUUUUU
Oryza rufipogon (brownbeard rice) is the source of this 205-nucleotide microRNA precursor. It matches the Rfam family "MIR812 microRNA precursor family". The record is from Rfam. NCBI's taxonomy places the organism in Eukaryota, Viridiplantae, Streptophyta, Magnoliopsida, Poales, Poaceae.